UGGGGAAUCUUGGACAAUGGGGGCAACCCUGAUCCAGCCAUGCCGCGUGAGUGAUGAAGCCUUAGGGUCGUAAAGCUCUUUCGCCUGUGAAGAUAAUGACGGUAGCAGGUAAAGAAACCCCGGCUAACUCCGUGCCAGCAGCCGCGGUAAUACGGAGGGGGUUAGCGUUGUUCGGAAUUACUGGGCGUAAAGCGCACGUAGGCGGACCAGAAAGUUGGGGGUGAAAUCCCGGGGGCUCAACCCCGGAACUGCCUCCAAAACUAUUGGUCUAGAGUUCGAGAGAGGUGAGUGGAAUUCCAAGUGUAGAGGUGAAAUUCGUAGAUAUUUGGAGGAACACCAGUGGCGAAGGCGGCUCACUGGCUCGAUACUGACGCUGAGGUGCGAAAGUGUGGGGAGCAAACAGGAGUUAGAUACCCUGGUAGUCCACACCGUAAAACGAUGAAUGCCAGUCGUCGGGUAGCAUGCUAUUCGGU
Molecule: ribosomal RNA, 473 nt
Filed under: uncultured bacterium
Lineage: Bacteria
Description: bacterial SSU rRNA
Rfam family: Bacterial small subunit ribosomal RNA
Source: RNAcentral